RNAcentral lists this signal recognition particle RNA (265 nucleotides) under Clostridia bacterium. Its description in RNAcentral is "signal recognition particle sRNA large type". It matches the Rfam family "Bacterial large signal recognition particle RNA". Rfam says of the family: The signal recognition particle (SRP) is a universally conserved ribonucleoprotein involved in the co-translational targeting of proteins to membranes. Archaeal SRP consists of a 7S RNA and homologues of the eukaryotic SRP19 and SRP54 proteins. Lineage: Bacteria; Bacillati; Bacillota; Clostridia. The record is from RNAcentral.
CUGCGCUAGGCGGGGAGUUAGCGGCACCAUGUAUCUGAAAUCCGCUAUAUCAGAGCCGAACGCCUUUCUCGACUUCGUUUAUGGAAGGCCGCGCGUCGUAAGGAACGUUGAUAGCAAGGUCUUAUGCAACGCAAUGCCGCGAACCGUGUCAGGACGGGAACGUAGCAGCACUAAACGGAAGUUUGCGUGUGCCAUAAGGUAGCUUUGAAGGAGUCACCUGCGGCGUUCCCACUUCGGUAAUCAGCGGCAACAAAGGCUCGCGCAG